Molecule: long non-coding RNA, 1431 nt
Organism: Xenopus laevis (African clawed frog)
Lineage: Eukaryota; Metazoa; Chordata; Amphibia; Anura; Pipidae
Exons: 4
Source: RefSeq, a predicted model, not a curated record
UGUAGUUGGUGCUUGGAGGAGGGAGGCAGCUCCGACAGAUAUUUUGCUGUCAGAUACUAAAACCCGCCUUCUUGCCAUGCUACAGAAGCAGGGGAGAGGUGCUAGGAAGCGGCUGAAGAGGAAGCUGAGCAGCUGUGGAUGUGAGCAUUAUCCAUGACAGCAUUUCCAGUAGAGUGAGUGAGUGACAAGCCUUAACGCGACUGAAAAAAACGAUUGCAAGCUGUCAAUGGCAGAGGGAUGUGGACUGCAGAACUUGCACCAGUGACACAAUCUUUUCCAAAUGUAUCUGUGGGGUUCUGUUGUAAACAAGAAAUUAGAUGAACAAAUCAGGAUGCUGACGAAGGCUCACCAAGCUAAAUGCAUAUUGCAAAGUUAUAAUUAGUAUCUGAUAAUAAAGUGCAGAGAGUAUUUUGUUGUUAUAUAACAUUCAAAAAGAUUUGUUUUUCAGGGAAUUGUGCUCUGCUAUUACAUGCUGUGGAAGAUUGCUGGUGUCCACAGUAUGGAUCUUAUUAUUAACAUUAUUUAACACCAUUCACUGCAAUGUGAGAAUCCAGACAGGCCCAACCCACUGCAGAAUGAUGAUGCUAAUGGUUUUACUAGACCCACCCCACUGCAGUAUGAUAAUGCAAAUGACUUCUCAGAGAUCCUCCCCUUAUUUCAUUGAAAACAUUCUUCUAAAUAAUUCCAAAUGUAAAGACUUGUGUGUUUGUGCAGUGUGUGAAAGUUCCUGUUUUGGGUAGUAUAAUGCUGAUUUCUUUACAUUGAUUGUUGUGCUGGUUGCAAAGCCCCAGUAAUUCAUGGCACAGAUGAAGAAUAGAUAGAUUAAGGGAGUACUUUGAUGAGAGCAAGUUCACUUUUUAACAUUCACCUGCAGAAACUAACAGCCUGGUUUUAUGUCAGUUGCUUAAGGGCUUAUCUGGCCCAAAUGCUUGCUGGUGCUUGUAUUUUGAUUUUAGCAAAAAACGUGUUCUUCAUUUAAUCGCUCAUUAAAUGGCCGAUGCAUUAACCAUACUUAAUCUAGUUCUCUGUGAAAUGGUUCCUUUUUUUCCUAGAUUUUUGAUUGUAUUAUUCUCUGCUUUAAAGCCAGAGUAUAAGUAGAAAAUGUACAGAAAGCUCUCUGAGAGCUAAAUCAUUUAGGAUCUGCAGCUUAGAAAUUAUCUCUCCGUCAUUGACCUUGAAAGGAUGAUAACCAUUUAAGCCAUCAUCUUAUCCUACUAAUUUAGUAAGUAAUAUUUUGGCUAGAUAUCUCAUUGAGGGGCGAAACUAAUAUGAUAAGAGUCUCUCCAUUAAAUGAAAGAACCAAUAAGUGUAAAUCCUCAAAUUGACUUAAUAAAUAAAUGCUGCAUAUGUGGCGACUUAAAGCAUCAUACUAAUUGCACAUAAAAUUUUCAUUGUACACACUAAUUGUUUGAAAUAAAAUAUUCCACUUAA